RNAcentral lists this ribosomal RNA (467 nucleotides) under uncultured bacterium. Its description in RNAcentral is "partial 16S ribosomal RNA". It matches the Rfam family "Bacterial small subunit ribosomal RNA", at positions 28 to 506 of the family's 1533-position model. The record is from RNAcentral.
GACGAACGCUGGCGGCGUGCUUAACACAUGCAAGUCGAACGGAAAGGCCCUGCUUUUGUGGGGUGCUCGAGUGGCGAACGGGUGAGUAACACGUGAGUAACCUGCCCUUGACUUUGGGAUAACUUCAGGAAACUGGGGCUAAUACCGGAUAGGAGCUCCUGCUGCAUGGUGGGGGUUGGAAAGUUUCGGCGGUUGGGGAUGGACUCGCGGCUUAUCAGCUUGUUGGUGGGGUAGUGGCUUACCAAGGCUUUGACGGGUAGCCGGCCUGAGAGGGUGACCGGCCACAUUGGGACUGAGAUACGGCACAGACUCCUACGGGAGGCAGCAGUGGGGAAUAUUGCACAAUGGGCGGAAGCCUGAUGCAGCAACGCCGCGUGCGGGAUGACGGCCUUCGGGGUGUAAACCGCUUUCGCCUGUGACGAAGCGUGAGUGACGGUAAUGGGUAAAGAAGCACCGGCUAACUACGU